Molecule: ribosomal RNA, 468 nt
Filed under: uncultured bacterium
Lineage: Bacteria
Description: partial 16S ribosomal RNA
Rfam family: Bacterial small subunit ribosomal RNA
Source: RNAcentral
GACGAACGCUGGCGGCGUGCUUAACACAUGCAAGUCGAACGGAAAGGCCCUGCUUUUGUGGGGUGCUCGAGUGGCGAACGGGUGAGUAACACGUGAGUAACCUGCCCUUGACUUUGGGAUAACUUCAGGAAACUGGGGCUAAUACCGGAUAGGAGCUCCUGCUGCAUGGUGGGGGUUGGAAAGUUUCGGCGGUUGGGGAUGGACUCGCGGCUUAUCAGCUUGUUGGUGGGGUAGUGGCUUACCAAGGCUUUGACGGGUAGCCGGCCUGAGAGGGUGACCGGCCACAUUGGGACUGAGAUACGGCCCAGACUCCUACGGGAGGCAGCAGUGGGGAAUAUUGCGCAGUGGGCGGAAGCCUGAUGCAGCAACGCCGCGUGCGGGAUGACGGCCUUCGGGUUGUAAACCGCUUUCGCCUGUGACGAAGCGUGAGUGACGGUAAUGGGUAAAGAAGCACCGGCUAACUACGUG